Molecule: ribosomal RNA, 459 nt
Filed under: Triticum aestivum (bread wheat)
Lineage: Eukaryota; Viridiplantae; Streptophyta; Magnoliopsida; Poales; Poaceae
Description: partial small subunit ribosomal RNA
Source: RNAcentral
AUGGCUGGUCGAGCACCCACCCCGGCGACCUCCUGCAGAGGAGGAGAGGUCGAGUACAGAUCCAGUUCAUGGAGGAGAUGCCAGCACAGGGUCAAUCAGUCUCUUGUUCGUCCUUUGGAUGGUUCGCUGCUCGCAGAGGUUAUUUCGUGUGCUUGGAGUUUGUGGGUGCUUUACCUCCUUUUUAUCGUCUUGUCGUUUGCUUCUUUACCUGCCCAGAUCCUGAUGUUGUUGUCUUCAAUUGCUUUGCAGUCUAACACUAUUAGCUCUCCAGUUCUUCGUCUUGCUGUCAAGCAAAUCACUAUCAAAGAGAAGGAGGUGGAUACAUUAUGGAAUCUGACAUUAUCCCUGUUAGUGCUAAUAGAUCCAAGCACGCAAAGAAACAAACGAUUUUACAGACCGGAUACCAUAGCGAAAUCAACAAAGAAGUUGCAGUGGUGGAGGAUAUAUUCUCCGUCAUGA